Molecule: transfer RNA, 77 nt
Filed under: bacterium
Lineage: Bacteria
Also listed under: 2 other names
Description: tRNA-Arg
Rfam family: tRNA
About the family: Transfer RNA (tRNA) molecules are approximately 80 nucleotides in length.
Source: RNAcentral
GCCCUUGUAGCUCAAAUGGAUAGAGCAACUCCGUCCUAAGGAGUAGGUUAGAGGUUCGAGUCCUCUCAAGGGCACCA